RNAcentral lists this ribosomal RNA (1241 nucleotides) under Mytilus galloprovincialis (Mediterranean mussel). Its description in RNAcentral is "16S ribosomal RNA". It matches the Rfam family "Bacterial large subunit ribosomal RNA", at positions 560 to 2839 of the family's 2925-position model. Lineage: Eukaryota; Metazoa; Mollusca; Bivalvia; Mytilida; Mytilidae. The record is from RNAcentral.
AAAGCAUUAACUAUAAAAGAUACCCCUAAAUGUUUUGUAAAAAGCGGGUCUAAACAAGGAUAGUAUAAAUAAAUUUUAGUACCUUUUGCAUAAGGGUUUUUCAAGACAAAUUUAAGUAUUUAAUUUUCCCGAAUGAAAGAGAGUUAUUUUGUAGAGUUAAAAAUCGUGGUAAAGAUUUAAUUAAAUUAUAAAAUAGCGGCUAGAUACUAUUCGCGCUUUUAGAUAUCUGGUUGGCUUAGAAAUAUGUGUAAGCAUUACCCUUAAAUACUUAAGGAGCAAAUUCUUCGGGUUAAGCUGAAAAAUGUUAAAAUUGACGCCAAGAAAAAAGUUGGUUUUUAUAGGCUUUAGACUAGCCACUAAGCACAAAUUUAUUUUAACUAAAACCAAGUGGUGGAAAAAAUUAAUUGGGGUCGUCAUUUGCUCUAAGAUAAGCCUGUGGUCGUAGAACCAAAAAUUAUGAUAAAAACGAGUAAAGAUAUUCUUUGGCUGGUGUGACUCUACUGUUACACCUUAAAAAACUAACUGUGUUAUAAGACUUUUUAAACGAACUCGGCAAACUAAGCUUCUCGACUGUUUAACAAAAACAUUUCCUUUUGAUAUGAGUAAAAGGUAGUCCCUGCCCUAUGCAACUAAACUAACGUUUGUUGUAAAUGGCGGCGUUAACGUGAGCGUCCUAAGGUAGCGCGAUAAUUUGCUUUUUAAUUGAAGGAUGGUAUGAAAGGGUUAACGAAGAAGAUGCUGUAUCUAAAAAUUUAAUUUAAACUAAUUUUAAGGUGAAGAGGCCUUAAUGUAAAAGAAGGACGACAAGACCCUAUGAAGCUUUAUCUUAAUUGAAGGUCUUAGCCUUUUAUACGUUUUUGAUGGGAGAUCAGCAAAAAUAAGUCUUUUGCUAUAACAUUAAUCUUACUAGAAUUUACUAGUUUUAUAUGUGUGACUAGCUACUCUAGGGAUAACAGCGCAAUUUCCCCCGAAAGAUGGUAUUGGAGGAGAAGAUUGCGACCUCGAUGUUGGCUUUAGGUGCCCUAGAGGCGUAGAAGCCUCUAAGGGUGGGUCUGUUCGCCCUUUAAAAUCUAACAUGAGCUGAGUUCAGAACGGCGUAAGCUAGUUCAGUUUCUAUCCUCUUUUAAAAAUGAGCUAAUUUUGUACGAAAGGACUCUUUCGCUAAAGUAAUGCUUUGGCCCAGCCUUGUAAUUACACAAAUAAUGUUACAUGACGAGCUGAGUAACUCAUAAAAAGGACUG